RNAcentral lists this ribosomal RNA (496 nucleotides) under uncultured bacterium. RNAcentral describes it as "partial 16S ribosomal RNA". It matches the Rfam family "Bacterial small subunit ribosomal RNA", at positions 28 to 506 of the family's 1533-position model. The record is from RNAcentral.
GAUGAACGCUGGCGGCGUGCCUAAUACAUGCAAGUCGAGCGAACAGACGAGGAGCUUGCUCCUCUGACGUUAGCGGCGGACGGGUGAGUAACACGUGGAUAACCUACCUAUAAGACUGGGAUAACUUCGGGAAACCGGAGCUAAUACCGGAUAAUAUAUUGAACCGCAUGGUUCAAUAGUGAAAGACGGUUUUGCUGUCACUUAUAGAUGGAUCCGCGCCGCAUUAGCUAGUUGGUAAGGUAACGGCUUACCAAGGCGACGAUGCGUAGCCGACCUGAGAGGGUGAUCGGCCACACUGGAACUGAGACACGGUCCAGACUCCUACGGGAGGCAGCAGUAGGGAAUCUUCCGCAAUGGGCGAAAGCCUGACGGAGCAACGCCGCGUGAGUGAUGAAGGUCUUCGGAUCGUAAAACUCUGUUAUUAGGGAAGAACAAAUGUGUAAGUAACUAUGCACGUCUUGACGGUACCUAAUCAGAAAGCCACGGCUAACUACGU